UGGGGAAUAUUGGACAAUGGAGGAAACUCUGAUCCAGCAAUUCUGUGUGUGUGAAGAAGGUUUUAGGACUGUAAAACACUUUUAGUAGGGAAGAAAAAAAUGACGGUACCUACAGAAGAAGCAACGGCUAAAUACGUGCCAGCAGCCGCGGUAAUACGUAUGUUGCGAGCGUUAUCCGGAAUUAUUGGGCUUAAAGGGCAUCUAGGCGGUAAGACAAGUUGAAGGUGAAAACCUGUGGCUCAACCAUAGGCUUGCCUACAAAACAGUUGAACUAGAGUACUGGAAAGGUGGGUGGAACUACACGAGUAGAGGUGAAAUUCGUAGAUAUGUGAAGGAAUGCCGAUGAUGAAGAUAACUCACUGGACAGAAACUGACGCUGAAGUGCGAAAGCUAGGGGAGCAAACAGG
This 407-nucleotide ribosomal RNA is filed under the name Verrucomicrobiota bacterium. Its description in RNAcentral is "Verrucomicrobia bacterium partial 16S ribosomal RNA". It matches the Rfam family "Bacterial small subunit ribosomal RNA", at positions 355 to 776 of the family's 1533-position model. Lineage: Bacteria; Pseudomonadati; Verrucomicrobiota. The record is from RNAcentral.